This 254-nucleotide ribosomal RNA is filed under the name uncultured bacterium. Its description in RNAcentral is "partial small subunit ribosomal RNA". It matches the Rfam family "Bacterial small subunit ribosomal RNA", at positions 26 to 285 of the family's 1533-position model. The record is from RNAcentral.
AGAACGAACGCUGGCGGCGUGCUUAACACAUGCAAGUCGAGCGGAAAGGCCCUUCGGGGUACUCGAGCGGCGAACGGGUGAGUAACACGUGAGUAAUCUGCCCCUAGCUCUGGGAUAGCUCCGGGAAACCGGGAUUAAUACCGGAUACGACCACUACGGACAUCUGUGGUGGUGGAAAGAACUUCGGCUAGGGAUGAGCUCGCGGCCUAUCAGCUUGUUGGUGGGGUAACGGCCUACCAAGGCGACGACGGGUA